AAUCCCUUAAAAAAACUGUGCAAGUCAGCAAUCUCAGCCCACUUCUGACAGUGGAUCAGUUGAAACAGCUGUUUGGUUUCUGUGGUGCAAUCAUUGAUUGUAGCAUUACUGAUUCCAAACAUUUUGCUUACAUCGAAUACUCAAAACCUGAAGAAGCAACUGCUGCUUUAGCAUUGAACAAUAUAGAAGUUGGUGGUCGCCCCUUAAAUGUUGAAAUGGCAAAACAACUUCCUCCAAAGGCAGCUAUCUUAAAUUCGUCAAUGGGUUCUUCUUCUUUGCCCUUGAUGAUGCAGCAAGCCGUAGCAAUGCAGCAGAUGCAGUUCCAGCAAGCUCUAUUAAUGCAGCAAGCUAUGACUGAACAACAAGCUGCUAAUCGAGCUGCAACCAUGAAAACUGCUACAGAUUUGGCUGCCGCAAGAGCUGCAGAAAUAAGCAAGAUGUUGAAAGCAAAUGGAUUGGUUUCUGAAGAUAAGGAAACUGAUGAUAAGGCUAAGUAUGUCACCUGAAGUAUUUUUCUUAUAUGCUUAUAAUAUAUCUUAUGUGUUUGGUAAUUGAUCUAACUGGUAUCAGGAAUACCUUGUUUAAUUAUUAAAGUUGGACUUAUUGCACCUGUAGAACAUAGUCACGCCUUGUUUUUAUGAAUAAGUGUGUNCUUUAAUGUUGUAUUUGUAUCACGCAGGCAGUACGACUGGUGGGCUAUUGGGUAUAGCACCGUCAGCCACAUUUCCAAAUAUGGUCAACCAGAACAUGCCUAAUAUGCCAAAUUAUUCUGGUUCUGUAUCUGGGGCAGUCCCAGGAUUGCUUGGGAUGAUACCAGGUAUUGUUCCUGGAGCUUCUGGAGGUGUAGUUUUACCUGGGAUUGGAGCAUCUAUUGGGGAAGUUUGCCGAGAAUACCUUUACGGACGAUGUGCAAAAACUGAUUGCAAAUUCAAUCAUCCCCCUCACAAUCUUCUAAUGACUGCUCUAGCUGCAACCACCAGUAUGGGAACGCUUAGUCAAGUGCCCAUGGCACCUUCUGCGGCUGCUAUGGCUGCUGCUCAGGCAAUUGUUGCUGCACAAGCUCUUCAAGCACAUGCUGCUCAGGCACAAGCACAGUCUGGAAAAGAUUCCGCUGGUAUUUCUAGCUCUCAUUACUAUCAAUAAAUUCCUCCUAAUUGUUGAUUAUUGCGAGUUAUUCUUAAAAGUUCCUUGCUCCACUAGAACAUUGAUUCUUGAAUUUUUUUUCUGGUACUUCUAUCUCCCAUCAUUGCCCAAUAGUAAUUUAUAUUUUGGUUGUUACUGGGGUCUGUACAUAAACUUUUCUUACUUAGGUUUCUUCAAACUAUUUUGCUGCUAUAGCUUAAAGAGACCAGAUAGGCUCUUACAACUCUCUUUGUUUCUUCCCCAAUCUACUCAUCAUAAAAGAUGAUUUGUAGAAUUAAAAAUGCAUAUAGACAUUUCUGCUAGGUAUUCAUGAGAGUGUACCUCAUUCUACUUGUUCCCUUUAUGUAUCAGGUGACAAAGAUGGAAAGGCCGAAUCCCUUAAAAAAACUGUGCAAGUCAGCAAUCUCAGCCCACUUCUGACAGUGGAUCAGUUGAAACAGCUGUUUGGUUUCUGUGGUGCAAUCAUUGAUUGUAGCAUUACUGAUUCCAAACAUUUUGCUUACAUCGAAUACUCAAAACCUGAAGAAGCAACUGCUGCUUUAGCAUUGAACAAUAUAGAAGUUGGUGGUCGCCCCUUAAAUGUUGAAAUGGCAAAACAACUUCCUCCAAAGGCAGCUAUCUUAAAUUCGUCAAUGGG
RNAcentral lists this long non-coding RNA (1780 nucleotides) under Solanum pimpinellifolium. RNAcentral's name for it is "long non-coding RNA (SPIM_LNC000222)". The record is from RNAcentral. Lineage: Eukaryota; Viridiplantae; Streptophyta; Magnoliopsida; Solanales; Solanaceae.